RNAcentral lists this ribosomal RNA (466 nucleotides) under uncultured bacterium. RNAcentral's name for it is "partial 16S ribosomal RNA". It matches the Rfam family "Bacterial small subunit ribosomal RNA", at positions 28 to 507 of the family's 1533-position model. The record is from RNAcentral.
GAUGAACGCUGGCGGCGUGCUUAACACAUGCAAGUCGAACGAUGAAGCCCAGCUUGCUGGGUGGAUUAGUGGCGAACGGGUGAGUAACACGUGAGUAACCUGCCCUUAACUCUGGGAUAAGCCUGGGAAACUGGGUCUAAUACCGGAUAGGAGCGUCCACCGCAUGGUGGGUGUUGGAAAGAUUUAUCGGUUUUGGAUGGACUCGCGGCCUAUCAGCUUGUUGGUGAGGUAAUGGCUCACCAAGGCGACGACGGGUAGCCGGCCUGAGAGGGUGACCGGCCACACUGGGACUGAGACAGGGCGCAGACUCCUACGGGAGGCAGCAGUGGGGAAUAUUGCACAAUGGGCGCAAGCCUGAUGCAGCGACGCCGCGUGAGGGAUGACGGCCUUCGGGUUGUAAACCUCUUUCAGUAGGGAAGAAGCGAAAGUGACGGUACCUGCAGAAGAAGCACCGGCUAACUACGUG